RNAcentral lists this ribosomal RNA (497 nucleotides) under uncultured bacterium. RNAcentral's name for it is "partial 16S ribosomal RNA". It matches the Rfam family "Bacterial small subunit ribosomal RNA", at positions 28 to 507 of the family's 1533-position model. The record is from RNAcentral.
GAUGAACGCUGGCGGCGUGCCUAAUACAUGCAAGUCGAGCGAACGGACGAGAAGCUUGCUUCUCUGAUGUUAGCGGCGGACGGGUGAGUAACACGUGGAUAACCUACCUAUAAGACUGGGAUAACUUCGGGAAACCGGAGCUAAUACCGGAUAAUAUUUUGAACCGCAUGGUUCAAAAGUGAAAGACGGUCUUGCUGCCACUUAUAGAUGGAUCCGCGCUGCAUUAGCUAGUUGGUAAGGUAACGGCUUACCAAGGCAACGAUGCAUAGACGACCUGAGAGGGUGAUCGGCCACACUGGAACUGAGACACGGUCCAGACUCCUACGGGAGGCAGCAGUAGGGAAUCUUCCGCAAUGGGCGAAAGCCUGACGGAGCAACGCCGCGUGAGUGAUGAAGGUCUUCGGAUCGUAAAACUCUGUUAUUAGGGAAGAACAUAUGUGUAAGUAACUGUGCACAUCUUGACGGUACCUAAUCAGAAAGCCACGGCUAACUACGUG